RNAcentral lists this ribosomal RNA (253 nucleotides) under uncultured prokaryote. RNAcentral's name for it is "partial 16S ribosomal RNA". It matches the Rfam family "Bacterial small subunit ribosomal RNA", at positions 524 to 776 of the family's 1533-position model. The record is from RNAcentral.
UACGUAGGGGGCGAGCGUUGUCCGGAAUUACUGGGCGUAAAGGGAGCGUAGGCGGUCUUUUAAGUUGGAUGUGAAAUACCCGGGCUUAACUUGGGGGGUGCAUUCAAAACUGGGAGACUAGAGUGCAGGAGAGGGAAGCGGAAUUCCUAGUGUAGCGGUGAAAUGCGUAGAUAUUAGGAGGAACACCAGUGGCGAAGGCGGCUUUCUGGACUGUAACUGACGCUGAGGCGCGAAAGCGUGGGGAGCAAACAGG